GUCGCCGGAUGUUUGAACGGAGUUGAUAUCCACCGGCCGUUCUUCUCCAUCGUCUUCCCCGUCGAACCAACCUCCGAUGUCCACCACAACCACCACCUACAACCGUGAACCACCCUCUCAUCAUCACUGGUAACCCACAUCAAUCGUCUUCUCCAGUCACCGUUCUUCACCACCAUCAUCACCAUACCAUCAAUCAACCGUACUAUUUGUUCAAGACACGCAGAUGAUGAUGAUCUGAUUUGUUAAAGAAAUCAGAUCUGGGUUUUUGUUCAAGAGAUGCAGAUGAUGAUUUAUGCAGAUGAUGAUCUGAUUUGUUCAAGAAAAUGAUGAUUUUGGGUUUUAUUUAUAAAGUCAUAA
This 357-nucleotide long non-coding RNA is filed under the name Helianthus annuus (common sunflower). RNAcentral's name for it is "hypothetical non coding rna". The record is from RNAcentral. Lineage: Eukaryota; Viridiplantae; Streptophyta; Magnoliopsida; Asterales; Asteraceae.